AUUGACCGCUGGCGGCAGGCCUAACACCUGCAAGUCGAGCGGAGCGGCAGACGGGUGAGUAAUGCCUAGGAAUCUGCCUGGUAGUGGGGGAUAACGUCCGGAAACGGGCGCUAAUACCACCUACUAUCCGAUGGGCCUAGGUCGGAUUAGCUAGUUGGUGGGGUAACGGCCUACCAAGGCGACGAUCCGUAACUGGUCUGAGAGGAUGAUCAGUCAAACUGGAACUGAGACACGGUCCAUACUCCGACGGGAGGCAGAAGUGGGGAAUAUUGGACAAUGGGCGAAAGCCUGCUCCAGCCAUGCCGCGUGUGUGAAGAAGGUCUUCGGAUUGUAAAGCACUUUAAGUUGGGAGGCGUUACCAACAGAAUAAGCACCGGCUAACUUCGUGCCAGCAGCCGCGGUAAUUC
Molecule: ribosomal RNA, 407 nt
Filed under: uncultured bacterium
Lineage: Bacteria
Description: partial 16S ribosomal RNA
Rfam family: Bacterial small subunit ribosomal RNA
Source: RNAcentral